AAAAAAGGUAGAGGCGCGGUACUUAUAAGUACUAGUGAUGAGUUAAGCACAUAGAUUUACUAGGAAAGGAAUUAUCGCCGAAGUUUAUAACUGAUGCUUUAAGGUUAUAUGCUGGGGAUGUAUAAAAUAUAUACAUCACUGUCACAAAUUAUAUUUGUGUUGAGCUAUCAUUUAA
Molecule: regulatory RNA element, 175 nt
Organism: Clostridium sp.
Lineage: Bacteria; Bacillati; Bacillota; Clostridia; Eubacteriales; Clostridiaceae
Rfam family: Lysine riboswitch aptamer
About the family: Riboswitches are metabolite binding domains within certain messenger RNAs that serve as precision sensors for their corresponding targets. Allosteric rearrangement of mRNA structure is mediated by ligand binding, and this results in modulation of gene expression.
Source: Rfam